AAUCAACGCUGGCGGCGUGCCUCAGACAUGCAAGUCGAACGCGAAAGUUUCCUUCGGGAGACAAGUAGAGUGGCGCACGGGUGAGUAACACGUAGGUAAUCUACCUUUGGAUGGGGAAUAACAACCGGAAACGGUUGCUAAUACCGCAUAAUGCAGCGGCACCUAAUGGUGACAGUUGUUAAAGCGGGGGAUCGAAAGACCUCGCGUCUGAAGAGGAGCCUGCGGCGGAUUAGCAGUUGGUAAGGUAAUGGCUUACCAAGGCUACGAUCCGUAACCGGCCUGAGAGGGCGGUCGGUCACACUGACACUGACAUACGGGUCAGACUCCUACGGGAGGCAGCAGUCGGG
This 347-nucleotide ribosomal RNA is filed under the name uncultured bacterium. RNAcentral describes it as "bacterial SSU rRNA". It matches the Rfam family "Bacterial small subunit ribosomal RNA", at positions 32 to 359 of the family's 1533-position model. The record is from RNAcentral.